GGUGACCGUAUAACCGACCGAGUACCGAGGGAAUGCUGGCCAACCGUUGCUUCUUGUCCAGAUGAAGGGGAGCGAAAUUAAAAUAAAGGCCCUUCCGCCAGCCGAUGGAGAACAUGAAGAUAAUCGCGGCCUCCUCGGGGAUGGAUAGCUUCUUCUUAUCAGAGGUGUAAAGUUCCAUGGCCUCGACAUCAACGAUGUCGUCGUCCAUGACUCCCUCGCCGGCAUCGAUCGCCCGGUUGACGCGGACCAGUGGUGUGAAGAUGAGUUCGUUGAUAUAUAGCGUAGCCUGAUUCUUGCGGUCCAGGAUGAGGAGGAAUUGUUCUAUCUGGGCGGGUCGAAGCGUA
This 344-nucleotide unclassified non-coding RNA is filed under the name fungal sp. RNAcentral's name for it is "partial internal transcribed spacer region". The record is from RNAcentral. Lineage: Eukaryota; Fungi.